Molecule: long non-coding RNA, 954 nt
Organism: Ictalurus punctatus (channel catfish)
Lineage: Eukaryota; Metazoa; Chordata; Actinopteri; Siluriformes; Ictaluridae
Source: Ensembl
CAGCAAACGCUCAGGAAAGAUAAGCACAUGAAGGAGGAAAGGGAAAACAGAGAGACAGAGUGGUGGCUACGGCUCUUGGCUGAGGGGCAGACGGAGGAUGUCAGUGCUGAAAAGUUCCAGAUGCCGUGUUUUUCUGAGUCCAGAGGGAGUUCUGGUGUUUAAAUGAUUUGAAAACAGCCGGGCUUUAGUUCAGGAGUGAGAAUGGACAGAGAGAGAAAUACAGCGAGGCAGAGAAAAAUCAUUGCUCAUGGCAGUUGUACAAUAUAUGGCCACAAGAGCAAACAGACAGGAAACAAAGUAAGACAUCGAAUGCAAGUACAGCACACGUGGACAGUUCAGAUCCAGGAGGGUCACAGCAUCACACGACUUAACGGUUUACCUCCACUGCUGUCUAACACCCCAUUAGCUGAUGAGUUGAAUCAGGUGUGUAGUGGCUGGGAAAUGACUGAACUGUACCGUGGACUGAAAUCCCAAUCAUUCUUCCAUCUCAUAGCUGAGGAACAAAUGGAUAAGUGGAUGAAGAACGCAUGUGAUGAAUGAGAUGAAAGCUCACUCUGUCUCCGUCUGUGUUGUUCGCAGCUGCAGAGGGGUAGAGCCGGUUGGCACGGUGCCUGGUCCAUGUCAUGCCAAUUAAGUUCAGCGGCUAAAAGUCUUCCAUCUGGGAUCGUCGCCGGCUCCUGACAGCAUUAACCCUUCCCCGAACACACACACACACACACACACACACACACACACACUGUGUAAACAUGUCUUUCCUUCCUCACGCUGACUCCAGCCCUGUAACACAUCCACUUCACACACCCCCACACACUAGCUCACUCUCACCCUCUCACGCUCUUCCUCCUUCUCUCGCACCCAAUUUACUUUUAUUUUGGUCACAUAUACUCCUUAUUCCUUGGGUGGAGGGUUACAGGAGAUGAGUCAAUGGCUAAAAAAGUUUCAGGUUUGACAUUC